UCCAGACUCCUACGGGAGGCAGCAGUGGGGAAUAUUGGGCAAUGGGCGCAAGCCUGACCCAGCAAUGCCGCGUGAAGGAAGAAGGCCCUCGGGUUGUAAACUUCUUUUAUCAGGGACGAAGGAUGUGACGGUACCUGAUGAAUAAGCUCCGGCUAACUACGUGCCAGCAGCCGCGGUAAUACGUAGGGGGCAAGCGUUAUCCGGAUUUACUGGGUGUAAAGGGAGCGCAGACGGCAGUGCAAGUCUGGAGUGAAAGCCCGGGGCCCAACCCCGGAACUGCUCUGGAAACUGUUGGUCUUGAGUAUCGGAGAGGCAGGCGGAAUUCCUAGUGUAGCGGUGAAAUGCGUAGAUAUUAGGAGGAACACCAGUGGCGAAGGCGGCCUGCUGGACGACAACUGACGGUGAGGCGCGAAAGCGUGGGGAGCAAACAGGAUUAGAUACCCCUGUAU
RNAcentral lists this ribosomal RNA (449 nucleotides) under uncultured bacterium. RNAcentral's name for it is "bacterial SSU rRNA". It matches the Rfam family "Bacterial small subunit ribosomal RNA", at positions 330 to 793 of the family's 1533-position model. The record is from RNAcentral.